Molecule: ribosomal RNA, 258 nt
Filed under: uncultured prokaryote
Description: partial 16S ribosomal RNA
Rfam family: Bacterial small subunit ribosomal RNA
Source: RNAcentral
UACGUAGGGGACGAGCGUUGUCCGGAAUUACUGGGCGUAAAGGGCGCGCAGGCGGUAUAUCAAGUCAGCUGUCAAAGACUGGGGCUCAACCCUGGUAUGCGGUUGAAACUGAUAUGCUGGAGUGCUGUAGAGGCAAGUGGAAUUCCCAGUGUAGCGGUGAAAUGCGUAGAUAUUGGGAAGAACACCGGUGGCGAAGGCUACUUGCUGGGCAGCAACUGACGCUGAGGCGCGAAAGCCAGGGGAGCAAACGGGAUUAGA